Molecule: ribosomal RNA, 304 nt
Filed under: uncultured bacterium
Lineage: Bacteria
Description: partial 16S ribosomal RNA
Rfam family: Bacterial small subunit ribosomal RNA
Source: RNAcentral
CAGCAGUAGCCGCGGUAAUACAGAGGGUGCGAGCGUUAAUCGGAUUUACUGGGCGUAAAGCGUGCGUAGGCGGCUUCUUAAGUCGGAUGUGAAAUCCCUGAGCUUAACUUAGGAAUUGCAUUCGAUACUGGGAAGCUAGAGUAUGGGAGAGGAUGGUAGAAUUCCAGGUGUAGCGGUGAAAUGCGUAGAGAUCUGGAGGAAUACCGAUGGCGAAGGCAGCCAUCUGGCCUAAUACUGACGCUGAGGUACGAAAGCAUGGGGAGCAAACAGGAUUAGAGACCCCUGUAGUCCCUGUCUCUUAUAC